GUGUGUGUGGGCAAGGGUAGCAAUUAUUUCCCAAACAAGAACCUGUUAGAUAUGUGGGAGACUAGGUUAAUGAUCAGAUACGUUUUUCUUGUUCAUACGUAGAAGUUCAAAGUCUUUUAAUCAUUACUUGUGUAGUAAAUUGUUAUGUCACUUAAAUCAAUCUGGUUUCAAUGCGUUGGCGUUGAAAUGAUAACCAGGUCUAUAGAACACUACAUUUGAUUUAGACUGACAACGCAACG
RNAcentral lists this long non-coding RNA (239 nucleotides) under Mytilus galloprovincialis (Mediterranean mussel). The record is from RNAcentral. Lineage: Eukaryota; Metazoa; Mollusca; Bivalvia; Mytilida; Mytilidae.